ACGGAAGGCAGCAGUGAGGAAUAUUGGUCAAUGGGCGGAAGCCUGAACCAGCCAUGUCGCGUGCAGGACUACGGCCCUACGGGUCUUAAACUGCUUUUGAUUGGGGAUAAAGUGGGGGACGCGUCCCCUAUUGCAGGUACCAAUCGAAUAAGGAUCGGCUAACUCCGUGCCAGCAGCCGCGGUAAUACGGAGGAUCCGAGCGUUAUCCGGAUUUAUUGGGUUUAAAGGGUGCGUAGGCGGGCUGUUAAGUCAGCGGUGAAACCCCCGGGCUCAACCCGGGGACUGCCAUUGAAACUGGCGGCCUAGAGUACGUUGGGAGUGCGCGGAAUGUGUGGUGUAGCGGUGAAAUGCAUAGAUAUCACACAGAACACCGAUUGCGAAGGCAGGAUACCAUACCAUAUCUGACGCUCAGGCACGAAAGCGUGGGGAUCGAACAGGAUUAGAUACCCUGGUA
This 454-nucleotide ribosomal RNA is filed under the name uncultured Porphyromonadaceae bacterium. RNAcentral describes it as "partial 16S ribosomal RNA". It matches the Rfam family "Bacterial small subunit ribosomal RNA", at positions 341 to 792 of the family's 1533-position model. Lineage: Bacteria; Pseudomonadati; Bacteroidota; Bacteroidia; Bacteroidales; Porphyromonadaceae. The record is from RNAcentral.